ACCACCUGCUGUGCAAGCACAAGGACCCGCGUUCGAUCCCCAGUACCAAAAAAAAAAAGUUAAGAGAUGUGAUUAAAAAGAGCCUCUUCCCCAGGCAACACUAAUUUCUCUCUGUGGCACAGCUGCGCUGAGGGUCAGAUUUGACCCCUAGGUGGUCACUGGUGUUGGGGGCGGGGUGUGACAUCCUGAUUGGAAAGGAUGAGGGGAAAGUGAGCUUUGCACUUGAGGUGUGUGAUUCAGGAAGGAGGAAAAUGAGGGAGCCGAGGCUGUGGUUCCAGAAGCCCCUUUGAAGGUUUGUCACCUGGUGCCCAACCCUGCCGAGGAAUAGUGAGUGAAUAUGGAACACUCAGCAUGGGGCCGGCAAGGCUCCGUCCUCACUGAGUGGUGGUUAACAAAAGUAAAGACAAAGAAAUGGGGCUGUUGCUGUCCAGUUCCCUGUGGGUCCCCGAGUCCCCCUGUGGCUGGCACACAGAGCAUCUUUUCGGUGGAACCAGGGAAAGAGUCCUGCAGUUCUGUGACCUGGGCCUCCUUCUGUAGGAGGCGACAGGAGAAGGGAGAGGAGAGCAUUUGUCUGGUCUGCGGGACCUCGGCACCAUCUGGAGACCCCAGAAGGGGUCAUCGUUUGCUGCACAGCCUUUUGGUCCUCAUGAAGCUCAGGUGUGGUUGUGAGGCCCCAAAGUGUCCCUCACGAGUGUCCCCUGGCAAGUGGGGAUAACAGACUUCUGGAAGUGUUUUAACUAUAGCGGCUGGCGUUUUGACAUCUUGCCCUGGAGCACCGCCAUGGUUGUUCUCAGCUCUGCUAGGUGAAUGUUGCCCUCGAGGUCUUCGGAGUGGACCUCUGAGAUGACAGACACCUGUCACCUUGAAGGCUAGAGAAGUGUCUUGCGCUUGCCUGGCACAGCCCACGGGGGCAGCAAAUGGUGAAUCGGACCUGUUUAUUAGCUACCUGCUUCCUUGAGAACCAAUUAUGGAGAAGACUCAGCUCCACCUCCACUCUUGGGCAUGGAGCUCUGCAUGGUGGCAGCGGUGCCUUUUAUUGAAUCUCUCCCUGUAGCUGGUGCAGCACUCACUGCCCCAAACCAAUACUUUCUAAUAUUUUCAGAAGCAAAGGUGAGUGGUGUGCUUGCUUAAGUUUUUAAUUUCUGAUGCUUUCCCAUGUGUCUGUGGCCGGGGCACUGUGUAACUGCAUAUCAGGCCUCAGGAUGGGCUCUGAGCUCAGCUGUGGGUGGCAGCAAUGGAAGCCAGCACCUUCCCUGGACUGUCUUACAGAGCAGAGGCGCUUACUGACUUCUCACAGCCCAUCCUUCAGUUGGCUCCAGCCAGUGUGCCCCUUACUCUGAAGCUGCCAUGGGUGUGAGGGUCUUGCUGCAUGGCUGUAAAGAGCAAUGUGAGGCUCACUGGGGCUCAGGCUGCCUUUAUAGUGGAGUGGAUGCUGCUCCAUCUCAUUUGAAUGCCUUCAAUAAGCACUUGAGAAGGCGAUUUUAACGUCUUUUGUAUGUCGAGUGGUUUGAUGUACCACUUGGACUGGAAAAAAGGACAAUGAAUGAGAACCCUCAGAUAUUAACAGAGCAUCAGAAUGUCUUGCCUGUUCUUGUACUCGAUGUAAGAUGUAAUUCCAGGAAUGACCUUGAUGUAGGUGUUCGGAAGCUCAUUCGUUUUGCAAAGGCAUAGGCCAAAAUCAAAUAAAGGAUUUUGCCUGAACAUCAAGGGCAAAGCUGA
Long non-coding RNA from Heterocephalus glaber (naked mole-rat), 1719 nucleotides. RefSeq lists it as uncharacterized. Lineage: Eukaryota; Metazoa; Chordata; Mammalia; Rodentia; Bathyergidae. The record is from RefSeq and is a predicted model, not a curated record.